CGUUCAGUGAGGCGGUCCAAGGAACAGGGUAGAGGAGAGUUUGGCUACGGAGUCGCUAACCAAGUCCUCUGGAGACCAAGCAGGAAGCAGGUCUGAUUUUAUUGCACAGCUACCAUGUACUCAGGCAGUAGCUAGGCAGAUUACAGGCAGCCACCAAUGCAAUUCUGCUAACUGCCCUUGCAGUGACCAGUCAAGGAGUGGGCUGUGGAGCAAGCACAGGGACUGUGCCUACCAGGUAAGCAGCCUGCCACUCAAAGGCUUAGCACAAGGUGAGUGGCCUGACACUCAGACACCCUUAACUUAUGCCAUGUAUGCAGUGCUCCAGGCACUUGUCCCCACAGAGCAUAAGGAGGGACAUCAUGAGGUGAAAAGAAAAACAACCAAAUACACUGCUCACAUUUCUACCCAUUGAAAGGAUUUUCUUUCACCAUUGUCUUUCUGGGAUCUUGACUGUGAUUAUAAAUAUAAAUAGUACCAGAAUACCAUUCAAAACUAUUUGAAUUGGACAUGAAUUUUUCCCUCCUUAGUCAACUUAUUAUAAGAACCUGCCCAGGCUGGGUGUGGUGCCACAUGCCUUUAAUCCCAGCAGCUCCGGAGGCUGAGGCAGGAGAAUCUCAAGUUCAAAGCCAGCUUCAGCAACUUAGCGAGGGCCUAAGCAACUUAGCAAGUCCCUGUCUCAAAAUAAAACAUAUAAAAGGACUGGGGAUGUGGUUCAGUUGUUAAGUGCUCCUGAGUUCAAUCCCUGGGAAGGAAGGAAGAAAGGCAGGGAGGAGAAACAAACUGCCCAAGAGAUCACGAAUACAGACUGAGGAAAAGGAUGCAAAUAAACAAAGAUAAAUUUAUGUAGAGAAGUCAGCUAUCUGUUCAAGAAAAUUAGUUGUAUAAUCUGUCUUCUCUAAUUUAAACUUUCACACAUUUCCACUGAUGAAGGAUUGUUGCAGCACCUCUUCCUCUAUGUAGUAAUGGAAGAAUUCAUGAUCUGCAACUUCAUUGCAGGGUCACUUGAUGUCCCUCAAUCAGACAUUUAUACUUCCCUAUUGCAGCAUUAGAACAAUUUUUCAAAGAACAGUUACUUAUCAAAGAAGUAACGGUUUGCUUCAAAAUCCUAUGGAUCUAUACUGUGAUUCUCUUAUUAAGUCUGGGGAUAUGACUUAAUGGUUUAGCAACUCUGUAUUCAAUCUCAGUUCAAAAAAUAUAUAGCUCUCAAAAAAUUAAGAUAUUGACAAAAUCAGAGGAAAAGUUGGUAAUUAUUGCUAAAUAUAGUGUAAAAAAUAAUCUAAAUAUUAUUGAUGAUUUGGGUAGAUAUGAAAGAAGGGGAGCACUCCUCUUGUCAUAUUAUCUUUGAAGAGCACAUAUUUGAGAAGUUAUAUGUAACUGCAGAUGAGAAGAAUGACAAGAUUAAUCUGGUUUAUGAAAUGAUGGACACUCCUGGAAUGGUCUGCCAAAUCUAUUUGACAGAGUUUCUCAACAAUUUAAAGAAUACCAAAACAGUGGUCAAUCCUAAGAAUUCAUUGCUGUGGGCAAAACCCCCUAAACUACAGUAAAUGGGAAUAUUUUCAUGAUAUUUUACCUAAAUUUUUAGAACUAUAAAUUCUUAUUGUUAUUAAAUGACAAUGUGGAUUAAUAAAUU
This 1630-nucleotide long non-coding RNA is filed under the name Marmota monax (woodchuck). Lineage: Eukaryota; Metazoa; Chordata; Mammalia; Rodentia; Sciuridae. The record is from RNAcentral.